AAGUCGUAACAAGGUUUCCGUAGGUGAACCUGCGGAAGGAUCAUUCAUAAUCAAAGUGUUUUUAUGGCACUUUUAAAAAAAUCCAUAUCCACCUUGUGUGCAAUGUCAUCUCACUGGAGGCCAGCUGGCUGUCAAAAGCCCGUUUGGUCACCUUUGGGAUUUAUAUCUACUCAGAACUUUAGUGAUUUUGUCUGAAAAAUAUUAUGAAUAACUUAAUUCAAAAUACAACUUUCAACAACGGAUCUCUUGGCUCUCGCAUCGAUGAAGAACGCAGCGAAAUGCGAUACGUAAUGUGAAUUGCAGAAUUCAGUGAAUCAUCGAAUCUUUGAACGCAUAUUGCGCUCUUUGGUAUUCCGAAGAGCAUGCUUGUUUGAGUAUCAGUAAACACCUCAAAGCUUUUGGAUUUUUUAAUCGAAAAGCUUUGGACUUGAGCAAUCCCAACACCAAUCUUUUUGAGAUCGGUGGCGGGUUGCUUGAAAUGCAGGUGCAGCUGGACAUUCUCCUGAGCUAAAAGCAUAUUCAUUUAGUCCCGUCAAACGGAUUAUUACUUUUGCUGCAGCUAACAUAAAGGGAGUUUGACCGUAUUGGCUGACUGAUGCAGGAUUUCACAAGGGUCGGCAACGAUUCUUGUUAAACUCGAUCUCAAAUCAAGUAAGACUACCCGCUGAACUUAA
This 674-nucleotide ribosomal RNA is filed under the name uncultured fungus. Its description in RNAcentral is "eukaryotic LSU rRNA". The stretch from base 227 to 380 matches the Rfam family "5.8S ribosomal RNA". The record is from RNAcentral. Lineage: Eukaryota; Fungi.